UACGGAGGAUCCGAGCGUUAUCCGGAUUUAUUGGGCUUAAAGGGUCCGUAGGCGGACUGUUAAGUCUGCUGUGAAAGUUUACGGCUCAACCGUGGAAUUGCAGUGGAAACUGUUGAGCUAGAGUGUACAAGGGGUGGACGGAAUUUGCGGUGUAGCGGUGAAAUGCGUAGAUAUCGGGAAGAACUCCAGUUGCGAAGGCGGCUCACUGGACUACAACUGACGCUGAUGCACGAAGGUGUGGGUAGCAAAUAGG
Molecule: ribosomal RNA, 253 nt
Filed under: uncultured bacterium
Lineage: Bacteria
Description: partial 16S ribosomal RNA
Rfam family: Bacterial small subunit ribosomal RNA
Source: RNAcentral